Molecule: non-coding RNA, 24 nt
Filed under: Arabidopsis thaliana (thale cress)
Lineage: Eukaryota; Viridiplantae; Streptophyta; Magnoliopsida; Brassicales; Brassicaceae
Source: RNAcentral
GUCCAGGACCGCCCAGCUAAGCCU